RNAcentral lists this long non-coding RNA (792 nucleotides) under Homo sapiens (human). RNAcentral describes it as "HSALNT0099332". The record is from RNAcentral. Lineage: Eukaryota; Metazoa; Chordata; Mammalia; Primates; Hominidae.
UGGAAAGAGAAUGUAGAGAAUGUGAAGCCCUCACCCUUACGUGUGUUGCUCAGCCUAAUCUCCCAUGUUUUCCUCCUUGCAGUUUUCUUCCUCUGGGGCGAGGAGAAAAAAAAGAGAGCAGGAUUCCUCAUUCAUCCAGUUUGCGGGGAGUGAGUGGGAGGAAGUCUAAUGAUGGAGGCACAGAACAAACCCACACUCACAGCUGCUUUUAGCCUCCCCGUAUCUAUACCCACAACACCUCCUUACAGGGCCUAGUGGUCAGUAUUCUCAGUGCCUUUCCAGAAACCACACCUGGCCCCAGAGGUAUGGCAUGGUGCCAUCUAACAGCCUAGGUAAGGUCCCCUGAGCACUGCCAAGCAAGAGGCAGUCUGUACAGCCCUAGGGUGUACGGGAUUCCUAAGUGCAGGAGAUGGUGCAGCUAGGAGUGCAGAUGAAAGCCCUCAGCUGCCUGAAGCUCACAUGCAGUGGAGGAGGGAAUUGGCUGUCCAGGUGAUGGAAGUGUGUCAUCAGCUUCAGGCCCACGGGCACCCAGCUACCUGCAAGCCACCUUCGCACCAAGCUGCGGGCUCUGAAAUGCACUCAGCGGAAGAUGACCCUGAGUCCUGUGCAGCAAGACAGCAGUUAACUUUAUCCCCAGAACUUCCUGCAUGAAACUAGCUAAGAUAAAGAGCCAACUCGAGUCCUCAGAACACACUGUGAGGGCACCAGGCUGUGUAGACCACCCACUCGGUGCCAACUUCACCCCCACUUCCGUUGAGGCAGGCAUGUUUAUUGGAAAUGUAACACGUUUUU